Zonotrichia albicollis (white-throated sparrow) is the source of this 1247-nucleotide non-coding RNA. NCBI's taxonomy places the organism in Eukaryota, Metazoa, Chordata, Aves, Passeriformes, Passerellidae. The record is from RefSeq and is a predicted model, not a curated record.
UCUUUGUCUGCUCGGGCAACUUGAACAAAAGGAGAAACUCGGAUGAACUCUCCAUCUCCUGCUCGCCUCUCCCGGCUUAACUCAUCUUCGGCAACUUCAUCGGAAGAGAUUUGCUCAACUUUCUUCGAGCUCUCCCGCCGCUUAAAAGCUAAGAGCCCCGCCGUAGGCUUCUAAGGAAAUCUGGUUUCACAGUUUAGAGAAAGGAGAAGGUCACAACAGGAUUGUUGGGAAAAUGGGAUGGUUGCCAGAACAUCAGUCUGUGAUGGGUGCCAUAUUGCAUUGCUCUUUGGAUGGUGGAAUACAGCUUGGGAUUCCUCAGGGCUGCCUACCGUGGUUCAAGCUGGACCAUACAGCUGCUUAACAUCUCAGCUGUUUGGAUUCAUUGUAAUGGUUAAUGAAUGGUUAAUGGUCUCCUGGGGGAAUGGAAGAGCCCCAUGCUGAAACUUGUGGAUAUUCUGGAACAUGCUUCUGAGACCCAUUUGGAUUAUAUCACCAUCUGACACCAGGGUUCUGCAGCUGAUGAAAGGAGUUUACCAGAUCUUUUUAUGUGGUUGCUGAAGCAUUGUCGUGGGACAGCAGUAAUGAUGGAUGGAUGAGCAGAAUACACUUCAGGCUUGGGUCACAGAGAAACAUGAGAAUUUACACUUCUGAAAUAGGUGUGAAUGGGAUUGAAGGAAUUCCGUGGAGGAUUCUGAACUCUCCUUCUUCCUGCUUCAGGAAAGAUGAAGACCUACUCUGAGACCACCUCUGGUUAUGAUCCACAUGUGCUACUGAAGGUGGCUGGAAUGGUGUGACAAAUGAGAUUCAGAUGGAUCACUUUACCAGCUGUCAAGGCCAAUACUUCUGUACAGUCCCUGCUCUCAACAACAGCCUCAGUGUCCUUGUGGUGGGGUGUCUUGGAAGGACUGUGCACAUCAAGCUUCACACUCCCUCUGCACUUGAGGCUCUCUCUGCUGAGGCAAUGAACACAGACCUAUACUUCACACUGGUUUAUCACAGGAAUUUUUCCAGUCCCUGUUCAAACAGCUUCUGCCUGAGCAUCUCUGAACAGCUAUUUGGAGCAACUGGAAAGCAGACACAUCACAGAAACAAAGCUGGCAGUAAGAUUAUUCCUCAUGCUAAAAUAAUACUCAGAAGUUUGUAUUCUGUCAGCUGAGAUUAUAGUUCAGUUUCUUGGAGGAAGUGAGAUGCUAUUUUGCUGAAGAUAUAUGGCUCUGUGUCCCCUGUUGUUAUAUAAGCAAAUUGUG